This 425-nucleotide ribosomal RNA is filed under the name uncultured bacterium. RNAcentral's name for it is "bacterial SSU rRNA". It matches the Rfam family "Bacterial small subunit ribosomal RNA", at positions 354 to 796 of the family's 1533-position model. The record is from RNAcentral.
GUGGGGAAUUUUGCGCAAUGGGGGAAACCCUGACGCAGCGACGCCGCGUGGAGGAUGAAGGCCUUCGGGUUGUAAACUCCUUUUGCGGGGGAAAAUGGUGAUGGUACCCCGCGAAUAAGCCACGGCUAACUCUGUGCCAGCAGCCGCGGUAAGACAGAGGUGGCAAGCGUUGUUCGGAAUUACUGGGCUUAAAGGGCGCGUAGGCGGCGUGGUAAGUCCGAGGUGGAAUCCCGGGGCUCAACCCCGGAAUUGCCUUGGAGACUGCCGCGCUUGAGUCAGUGAGGGGAGGGUGGAAUUCCCGGUGUAGCAGUGAAAUGCGUAGAUAUCGGGAGGAAGGCCGGUGGCGAAGGCGACCCUCUGGCGCUUGACUGACGCUGAGGCGCGAAAGCGUGGGUAGCAAACAGGAUUAGAAACCCUAGUAGUCC